RNAcentral lists this ribosomal RNA (253 nucleotides) under uncultured bacterium. Its description in RNAcentral is "partial 16S ribosomal RNA". It matches the Rfam family "Bacterial small subunit ribosomal RNA", at positions 524 to 776 of the family's 1533-position model. The record is from RNAcentral.
GACGGAGGGUGCGAGCGUUAUUCGGAUUUAUUGGGCGUAAAGAGCGUGUAGGCGGCCGGCCAAGCCAGAGGUGAAAGCCCAGGGCUCAACCCUGGAAGUGCCUUUGGAACUGGCCGACUUGAGUUCGGGAGAGGGAAGUGGAAUUCCGGGUGUAGAGGUGAAAUUCGUAGAUAUCCGGAGGAACACCGGUGGCGAAGGCGACUUCCUGGACCGAAACUGACGCUGAGACGCGAAAGCGUGGGGAGCAAACAGG